Mytilus californianus (California mussel) is the source of this 2342-nucleotide long non-coding RNA. RefSeq lists it as uncharacterized. Lineage: Eukaryota; Metazoa; Mollusca; Bivalvia; Mytilida; Mytilidae. The transcript is spliced from 3 exons. The record is from RefSeq and is a predicted model, not a curated record.
UUCCUUAGGCAUGCCCCAUAUUUAAAUCAGAACAAAUAGCUAGAAAUAAAAACGUCUGUGAUUGGAUAGAAACUACCGACACUUAUUAGCAUAAAUGCAGCAUACCAUAGCAGUAUGGAACAAAGGGACAAAUAGAAUAACCUACCAGAUAUAUGCACAAGGGCAGGAUUUGUUGAUUGACGAUACUGAAAAAAUCACAGGAGCACUGACUAAUGGUCUAGUGAUACCCGCGGGAACAAAAUGUCAUCGAAGAUACCAGGCUUUUAAUUCAAUAAGCCACAAGUGUUGUGGUAGCACUGAGUUUUGAGCUAAAACUAUCCUCGGGGAUGAAACGUCCACCAAUUUAGAACCUUGUGUUGAUAUAUUUUUGUGUGUUUAGUUGUUCAGUUGUUGCCUUAUUUACUUCUACACCAUAUUUCCUUUUAGUCAUAUGGAUUGUUUAUACAAUAUAUAAAUGAAGAAUUUUUACACGAAAUUGCUUACUUGUAUGGUUCUAUAACACAUUUGAGCGAUGAUUAUUAAAAUGUUUAAAACUGAAGAGUUACUAAAACCAACCUAAAAGCAGUGAAAAUACAAAAUAAGAAGACAGUUACAUAAGCGAUACCCACGGGAGCUAAAUGUGCACCAACAGUGACAUCGACUUGGUCGCAGUAAUACGAUCAAAAAGGAUAUCAAAAUUAAUUUGAUGCAUCAUACAUAAAGUGUACAUUGCAGCAGUCCUUGUUGUUGAUAGAAAAAAGUUUUUUUUAAACAUUACAUGAAAAGUUGGCCACACAAAUGUUAUUAUGUCUAUACCUCUUAAUCCUAGAUUAGCGCGUUAAUAAUAAUUUAAAAAUUCAACUAAUUCAUUUAGAGCAACGACAUAAAUGAUGCCAUACUUGUCUUAUUUGGUUUUUACUUCGAAUUCAUGUAAUUGAGGUAAGAUAAAGCUGAACAUUAUUUCUUUAUAAGACACCGUAAAUAUUUUCAAAACCAAGAAAAGCAUUUUUCAUCCACACUUCAUUGAAAGGAACAUAGCAACUAAAUAUUUUGACUUCAAUAUAAUAUGAAUGAGACUGAACAUCUCCUUCCAGACAAGGGAGAAGGAGACGUUAUUUCUAUUUCACUCAAAAAAAAAAUUAUGCUCAAAAUUUUACAUUACUUUUCAACACAAAAAAGUAUUAUAAAUUUCUGUGAUCCACUGUGUAUCGCUAUUUCAUUAUUUUGCAUGAUUCUAAGUCUCAAUGAUAAUUAACCAAUAUAAUGCAAAAAUACAUUAUUAGAACACAAAAGAUAUUUAGUGACAAUGUUCUCCCGAUUUCAUAUAAUAGGUAAGGUAAAAGUUCAAAAGCUGUCAUCAGCUAAUAAUGUUUUAUCAAAAGCAUACUACUAUUCACUUAAGGUGGAUCAUCGGUAUAUAUUUUCUCAGAUAGAAUGUUCUUAUACUUGGCAAAAAUGUAUAUUUUACCAUGCUUUUUUCAAAAAUAUAUCAUAAAGUAUGGGUCACAGUGCUAUAUUUCAAGCUACAAGUCGUGCAAAAUUGCCAAAAUUUUCUUAGAUUAUUCAUGAAAAAAACACUUUUUUGUGAAUAAAAAGAAAUCUAUUGAAUAUAAUUUUGAAAUAAAAUAUGAGAAGAUAGGUUUUAUGAUACACUUUGAGAAUAUAAAACGAAAAAUGGUGUCCCGAACUUGUUUUCUUGCUGUUCGUAAAAAAAGAAAAUUUCUUUUACAGUUUUUGAUAAAAAAAAAUACUAUUUGGGUUAUCUCCCCUUAAAUGGCAAAGUUGAAAAAUGGUUUCGAAUGAACAAAACUAGUUGGGUUUUGUUAAAGCAAUCUAUAUAUUGCAAUAAAUCGCUUAUUUUUCUUUAUUCAAAUAAGCAGUCUAACACAUUAAUUGCCAAUAUGUCUCAAAAAAUUGUAGACUUAAGCAAAGAACUAGACUGAUUUCGUACUGCUUUUACACAAUCAAAGAUGGAGGUAUACAGUUAAUCUACCUUAAUUGAAUUAUGUUUUUCUUUUCUGUUGGAACAUCAGAAUCUUUAUAAACAAGAAAUUCUACUAUUACGCAAUUGUUGCAUACAUUUUAUGUAAGACAUAUCGAUUCGUCCAUUUACAGUUUGGAGAAAGACUCAUAUCUUUUGUUACUUUUUAUUUGUAUUUAAUUUCUGUACUCAAACUUACAUCGGGUUAUUGCACAUGUGAGCUGUUGUUUUUCUUGAUGGUUAUAUAUCGUAAAAUUGAGAAUUGAAAUGGGGAAUAUGCCAAAGAGACAACAAUCCGACCAAAGAGCAAACAACAGCCGAAUCGGUUUAUUUUCUUUCAGAAAUUGUCAUUUCAUUAAAUAAAUAAUUGAUGUUUUUGUGA